GAUGAACGCUGGCGGCGUGCCUAAUACAUGCAAGUCGAGCGAACAGACGAGGAGCUUGCUCCUCUGACGUUAGCGGCGGACGGGUGAGUAACACGUGGAUCACCUACCUAUAAGACUGGGAUAACUUCGGGAAACCGGAGCUAAUACCGGAUAAUAUAUUGAACCGCAUGGUUCAAUAGUGAAAGACGGUUUUUCUGUCUCUUAUAGAUGGUUACGCGCGGCUUUGUCUAGUUGGUAAGGUAACGGCUUACCACGGCGACAGUGCGUAGCCGAGGUGAGGGGGUGAUCGGCCACUCUGGAAGUGACAGACGGCCCAGGCACCUAGGGGAGGCAGAGGUAGGGAAGCUACGGCGAAGGGGGGAAGCCUGCCGAAGCAACGCAGGGUGGAUGAUGAAGGUCUGCGGGUCGUAAAACGGUGUUCUGAGGGGAGAACAAAUGUGUAUGUAACGAUGCAUGUCUGACGGGAACCGAAGCAGAAGGCCACGGCUACCUACUU
This 496-nucleotide ribosomal RNA is filed under the name uncultured bacterium. Its description in RNAcentral is "partial 16S ribosomal RNA". It matches the Rfam family "Bacterial small subunit ribosomal RNA", at positions 28 to 506 of the family's 1533-position model. The record is from RNAcentral.